This 768-nucleotide long non-coding RNA is filed under the name Ornithorhynchus anatinus (platypus). RNAcentral's name for it is "lncRNA (ENSOANG00000042623.1)". Lineage: Eukaryota; Metazoa; Chordata; Mammalia; Monotremata; Ornithorhynchidae. The record is from RNAcentral.
UGGCCGUCCCUUCCCCCCCGCCCCAGCCGGCCAUCCCCCCAGAUCAGGAGGCUGCGAUUCCUGGUGGUGCCCGGGCCUCCACCCCCACGGCCACCAGCACCCAGGUCCACGGUGCUGCUGGCCAAGCGACAGCAGGCACAGAGUGCAGCGGCUCUGGGGCCGAUGCCAAGGAUGGGAGCACACUCACCCCUCUGGAUCCGCAGCCUUUGGAAUCGUCUGCCUCACUGGACAGCAGCUCUGUCCUGCCCCACCCAUCUACCUCCUUCGAACCUAUCAAACCGGAUCCCACGGAGAUACUGGAACUCCCCAAAGAGCUGUCGGAGAUGUUUGAUCCAACCAGAGGUAGGCCAGCCAGCUCACCCGCUCCCACCCAUCCUCCCAGUUAAAUGGCCCUGGCCAAGUCUGAGCCCGAGGGCCGGGUCCCACCCCCUCAUCAAUUCCACUGGGAUUGGGCCUCUUCCUUCUAGGAGGAAGACUUGGAUCUGGCCCCUGCUCACUCCGCUCUUGCCUUACAUUGGUUCAGGUGGUGACUGGCAGAGGAAAUUGGGCAGUGCCAGCCCCUUUCCAUGUGAGAGUCAACCUAGCCCUGCGCAGCUGGGCAGCGAGUGUGGCGGUGCCUGGUGUAGCUCCCAUUUUUUAAAAACCUUGAAUCGUGUGUCUGACCUUUACCUCCAUCCCGCCCCACCCCCCCACCCCCCAGUGGUUCUAAUUAAUUCACUCACACACAUCUACCUCUCCUCUUCACUCCUCCGUAUCUGCUCCGGGUAG